This 373-nucleotide ribosomal RNA is filed under the name uncultured Bacillus sp. RNAcentral describes it as "bacterial SSU rRNA". It matches the Rfam family "Bacterial small subunit ribosomal RNA", at positions 50 to 414 of the family's 1533-position model. The record is from RNAcentral. Lineage: Bacteria; Bacillati; Bacillota; Bacilli; Caryophanales; Bacillaceae.
UAUACAUGCAGUCGAGCGAUGGAUUAGAGCUUGCUCUUAUGAAGUUAGCGGCGGACGGGUGAGUAACACGUGGGUAACCUGCCCAUAAGACUGGGAUAACUCCGGGAAACCGGGGCUAAUACCGGAUAACAUUUUGAACCGCAUGGUUCGAAAUUGAAAGGCGGCUUCGGCUGUCACUUAUGGAUGGACCCGCGUCGCAUUAGCUAGUUGGUGAGGUAACGGCUCACCAAGGCAACGAUGCGUAGCCGACCUGAGAGGGUGAUCGGCCACACUGGGACUGAGACACGGCCCAGACUCCUACGGGAGGCAGCAGUAGGGAAUCUUCCGCAAUGGACGAAAGUCUGACGGAGCAACGCCGCGUGAGUGAUGAACG